AGAGUUUGAUCAUGGCUCAGAACGAACGCUGGCGGCAGGCCUAACACAUGCAAGUCGAGCGCCCGCAAGGGAGCGGCAGACGGGUGAGUAACGCGUGGGAACGUGCCCUUUGGUUCGGAAUAUUCCCGGGAAACUGGGAGCAAAACCGGAUAAGCCCUUCGGGGGAAAGUUUACGCCAAAGGAUCGGCCCGCGUUAGAUUAGGUAGUUGGUGGGGUAACGGCCUACCAAGCCUACGAUCUAUAGCUGAUCUGAGAGGAUGAUCAGCCACACUGGGACUGAGACACGGCCCAGACUCCUACGGGAGGCAGCAGUGGGGAAUCUUGGACAAUGGGCGCAAGCCUGAUCCAGCCAUGCCGCGUGGAUGACUGAAGGCCCUAGGGUUGUAAAGUCCUUUCGACGGGGACGAUAAUGACGGUACCCGUAGAAGAAGCCCCGGCUAACUUCGUGCCAGCAGCCGCGGUAAUACGAAGGGGGCUAGCGUUGUUCGGAUUUACUGGGCGUAAAGGGCGCGUAGGCGGAUUUUUAAGUCGGGGGUGAAAUCCCGGAGCUCAACUCCGGAACUGCCUUCGAUACUGGAAGUCUGGAGCACGGUAGAGGUGAGUGGAAUUCCGAGUGUAGAGGUGAAAUCCGUAGAUAUUCGGAGGAACACCAGUGGCGAAGGCGGCUCACUGGACCGUUGCUGACGCUGAGGCGCGAAAGCGUGGGGAGCAAACAGGAUUAGAUACCCCGGUAGU
Molecule: ribosomal RNA, 735 nt
Filed under: uncultured bacterium
Lineage: Bacteria
Description: bacterial SSU rRNA
Rfam family: Bacterial small subunit ribosomal RNA
Source: RNAcentral